This is a non-coding RNA of Stegodyphus mimosarum, 73 nucleotides long. NCBI's taxonomy places the organism in Eukaryota, Metazoa, Arthropoda, Arachnida, Araneae, Eresidae. The record is from Rfam.
GCUAUCGUGGUGUAGUGGUCAGCAUGCUCGACGCGUAACCGAGAGGUCCGUGGUUCGAUUCCCGGCGAAGGCG